AUGCGCUCUUUCACAGGCACAGGGAAGAUUCGCUGUUCCGCGGCACCGGGGAGGACUCCGAGGACAAACCCAGGCUGUGCUGGUGCCGGGGCCGGCGGAGCGCGGCGCGGAGUAGACGAUCUUGGUGGGCGCGUACUUCUUGUCGCGCGGCGGGCAGGAGCAGCAGAGCAGCGCGCCCCCCAGCAGCUGCAGAGCCGCGGCCGCCCAGCCCACGUACAGGCCCGCGCCCAUCUCCCGCUUCUGCGCGUCCGGCACCAGCGGGUUGUAGAAGUCCCGGAUGAUGGUGUUGGCCGACCAGGACACCGGCACCAGGGUGAGCAAGGCGGCCAGCAGGAAGAGCACUCCCGCCACGAUGGUGAUCUUGGCCUUGGCCGUGUCGUCCUGCACGCAGUUGGUGCACUGGGCGCCCACGAGUGCCACGAGGAGCCCGAAGGCGGCCAGCAGGAUGGACACGACGAUGAGGGCGCGGGCCGCCUGCAGGUCCUGCGGCAGCGCCAGCAGCGAGUCGUACACCUUGCACUGCAUCUGGCCGGUGCUCUGCACCACGCAGUUCAUCCACAGGCCCUCCCAGGUGAUCUGCGCCGUGAUGAUGCUGCUGCCGAUGAAGGCCGUCACGCGCCACAUGGGCAGCGCGCAGCACACGAUGGUGCUCAGCCAGCCCAGCACGGCCAGCGACGUGCCCGCGAUCUCCAGGCCCAUGGACAUGGCUGCCGCGCCAAAGCCGGCUCUGCCCGGCGGCUCAGGGUGCGGGGCGACGAGGGGCCGUGGCCGCUGGGCCUGGGCGGGAGCUGCCGCGCGCCGGCCGACCGAUGCCUCGACGGACGGACGGAAGGACGGAGGCACCGACGGCGCGCGCUAACGGCUCCGUUCUGCCCGCUGGCGCCGGGGCAGCGCCUGCACCUGCCUGUGCUUUGCGGGCGGGCGGCGGCGACUGGGCUGGCCCGGGGCUGGGGCCGGUGUUUCUUAGAUCCGAGCCCAGCGCUGCGGCGGGGGCGGGAGGGGCGGAGCCGCGUUUCCCGGCCUGGGGACAGUGACGUGGCCCCUCUUCCCACCUUUACCGAGAGCCCGGAGCCCAGGGAGGAAGGGCUGGGCGGGGAGGGGGGGCCGGGGGGCGGGGCCGGGGCUGUUUCCGGAGUGGGCGGCCGCCCCCGGGGCUGCGCACCUGCUCCUCGGUCCCUCCGGCCUGGGCCGCGGCGGCAGCAGCACUAGCUGGCGCCCAGUUCGGACUUGAUGCGGGCCCUGGAGGUCUGCGCCCAAAAGCCAGGGGCCCGCCUCUCCCCCACAAGGGCACCGGGAAGAUGCCCCAAAGCAGUGCUCAACUCAAAUUCACUUCCAGCCCUCCUGCAGCUCCCUCAGGUCUUACUCCUCGGUUGAUCCUGGGUAACUUGAGCAGAGCUGCAUUCCCCUCCCAGAAGUCCCUCCUCCUCGCUGAUUCCCCUCCUGCAGAGCUUUGUCUUCCCUCCCUCUGGGCCAGAGUGAGUGCUGUGAUCCACCUGAAUGAAGGGGUGGUGAAAGGUUUGAUCUAGACAAAAGUGGAAAAUCCGAGAUAUUACUUGCAGUGCCCUUGCUCCUAUUAACUUUAAAAGUAAAACUGCCAGUUAUUUUACCAGCAAAAAUGAGUUUAUUCGAGAAAAGAGAAUCGCAACCCAAGAUGAGCAAACUUGCAGCAAAACCGCAGUCAAAUCCAACAAACAAAGGAGAGGAACAUUAUUUUAUGGAGAAGGAGGAAGUAGAGAGGGCUUGUUUUGAACAAAAGUCCAUUAAAGGGGUGCUUGGGUGGUUCAGUUGGUUAAGUGUCUGUCUUGGGCUCAGGUCAUGGUUCCAGGGUCCUGGGAUUUAGAUCCCCCCCCCCCAAGCUCCCUGCUCAGCCUGCUUUUCCCUCUCCCCCCUGCCCGUGCUCUCUCUCUCUCAAAUAAAUAAAAUAUAUUUUUUAAAAGUCCGUUAAAGAGAAGCAAGUGUUCAGGGUAAUGAUGAUUUCUCAUUGGCUGAGUGACAGGGGUGGUCGAUUUUUUUUAUAGAAGAUGUAAUAUGUACAUCUUACCUUUUGGGGACCUAUAACUGAUGAUUCCGCCUUGUUGGGAUUCUUCUGUUGGGGUCUGUAAUUGACAAUUCUUCCUGUAAUUGAUAUGGAGCAGUAGGCUCCCCAACCAGCCUCCCUUUCCAGCAUCCCAGGUACAAUCCAGUGCGGUUUCUCUUCAUUAACUUUCACAUUUCCUUCUUUUAGAUCAAGAUCUUUCUUUGAAAGCAUCAGUGAUCAAGAGUCAGGUGUUUUGUACAAAGUGGCUUUGUCCCUCCAUGCCUGGAAGGACCUUUUCUGGUUGUCAUGUCCCACAUUGGAAGGAAGAUGCAUAGCAGUUGGAAACCACUUAGGGCCACAUAUGAGUAACAAGGAGAGUAAGGAGGGGGAGCUCUCAGGUACUUCCCAUCUGAAAUCUGUAUCUUCUCAAGGUUAUGAGCAUUGGAGGUCAUCUUGAAGGGGUGAGCCAGCAUCACCCUGUCGGAUACAUUGUUUUUAUGAAAGAUUGACAGGCAACAAGUACAAAAUCAAAAGUAACACGACUAUUUCAAACUAUAUGUUGGUUCUACAUUGGGACCCUAGAUCUGAAGGUAGCCAACUUAACAUGUUUGUUGUCACUCGUUCCAAUUUAGGGAAGAAAAGUUUCUCCCUAUGAAGGCAAACCUGGACCAUGGAUGCCUCUGGGAAGUCACUGCUUACAGCAGCCAUGAAAGCAGAAUAGUAAAUACUAUAAAAGCAUUAUAUUGGAAAGAACCAAUCAAGUGCAUUGGGAAGAUACAGUGCAGGUAUCAACACGAAGCAAUAUCUAAUGUCUUUGCAGAGCAGCAACACAUCAGGGAC
This 2857-nucleotide long non-coding RNA is filed under the name Canis lupus familiaris (dog). Its description in RNAcentral is "lncRNA (ENSCAFG00030012798.1)". Lineage: Eukaryota; Metazoa; Chordata; Mammalia; Carnivora; Canidae. The record is from RNAcentral.